AACGCACCUUGCGCUCUAUGGCAAUCCGUAGAGCAUGCCUGUUUGAGUGCCAUGAAAUCUCCCACCCCAAGCGGUUUUUAAAUGAAACGGCUUGGCGGAUGGGGUCUGGAUGGGUGCCUAUGCCUGCGCUACCUAGCACAGGCUCGCCCGAAAUGCAUGAGCGCCUUGAGACACUUUGCCUCCGCCUCUCUGUUUGGGAGGGGGAGGCCACGCAGUGUUUUUUCUCCUGGCAUGGUGUAAUACGUCAUUUGCUAUGGCGCCUAAAGGAGGAAUGGUUGGUUGUGUCUGCGUGUGCUUCGAACUUGCCUCUGUGGCACAUCCCAAUUUCACUUAUGGUCUCAAAUCAGGUAGGAUCACCCGCUGAACUUAA
Molecule: unclassified non-coding RNA, 370 nt
Filed under: uncultured fungus
Lineage: Eukaryota; Fungi
Description: partial contains ITS1, 5.8S rRNA and ITS2
Source: RNAcentral